This 109-nucleotide ribosomal RNA is filed under the name uncultured eukaryote. RNAcentral's name for it is "partial small subunit ribosomal RNA". It matches the Rfam family "Eukaryotic small subunit ribosomal RNA", at positions 1676 to 1785 of the family's 1831-position model. The record is from RNAcentral.
UCGCUCCUACCGAUUGAGUGAUCCGGUGAAUAAUUUGGACCGCAGCUUCGUUCAGCUUCUGAAUGUUGCCGUGGAAAGUUUAGUGAACCUUAUCACUUAGAGGAAGGAG